UGAAAAUGUAUGCACUCACUAACUGUAAGUCGCUCUGGAUAAGAGCGUCUGCUAAAUUACUAAAAUGUAAGGAGGAGUUGAUGGUGCUGCUAAACAGCAUUCCAGGUUAGAUUCUAUGUGUUCUGCUCAUAAUUUUUGUUAAUAUGUAAUGAUCCUUUUCUGCUAAUUCAAUCAGAUGAAUUGGAAGCAGGGCUUCAGUAGCUGGAGUCAAGGCUUUCUCCUACAGAGCUCCUCUUUAUGGAAUGGUUUGCCGAUGUGAGAGAAUCAGACUGUCUCAACUUCAAGUCUAGACUGAAUACUUUUCUCUUCUGUCAGUCCUAUGAUUGAGUGUAGUCUGGCCCAUGGGUGGGAAGGUGAACAGAAGUUUGGACCCGUCAGAUAAAGGAGACCCUCACAGACAAGAGGACGUUGUUCCUUACCUGGCAGGAGAGAUACGUGGAAACUCUCGUAGAGCAACAUCAAGUAGCCCCUACCAGUCAUGACUGCCACGUUCCUAUACUCUACUGUGUGCUGUGUCCUGGUCCCACAAUCUCUUGGAUCUGCAUAGCUACUCCCUGUUACUUUAUUCUCUUAUCACCAACUCCUGCUGUCACCUGCCCCUUUUCACUGCAUAUCCCAGAAACAUGAGUUCCCCCGUCCCCUGCUUAAUCUAUUCUACAUUAAGUAUUCUGACCUGUGUGCCAAUACUUCACACUGCAUAAUCCACUCUACACUCAAAUCUACACUCAAAUGGGUUUUGCCUUCCUAACUGGUUACAGUUAAAUACAGUUUGGAGCAAAUUGAUUAAGUCAUAUUUAGUAUGUAUUUUAACAAAUGAUAAGAAAAUCAUAUCAAAAGUUAUGUGAAUAAUGUAUUGUGAAAAGCAGAUACUUAGAUGUAAUAUGUAUGCCAAUUGUAGGAUUGAUUUGGUGCAGAGAACAAGUGACUUUGUGAAUAUGUUUGUUGUACUCAGUCAAUUGAAAAUGUACUUGUUUUGAAAAAUUUCCCAUUUUGAUGAUCUGUUGAUUUAUGUGCUAAUAGUUAUGAAAAUGUACCACAUACAUGUAAAAAAUUGCACCAGUGAUUGAAAGAAACAGUAAUAAAACACUCCGGGAGACCAGGAGCAUGCUUUUGUUACUCAAUCCCAUUGACAUCCUA
Molecule: long non-coding RNA, 1137 nt
Organism: Coregonus clupeaformis (lake whitefish)
Lineage: Eukaryota; Metazoa; Chordata; Actinopteri; Salmoniformes; Salmonidae
Exons: 2
Source: RefSeq, a predicted model, not a curated record